This 334-nucleotide long non-coding RNA is filed under the name Setaria italica (foxtail millet). Its description in RNAcentral is "long non-coding RNA (SITA_LNC000597)". The record is from RNAcentral. Lineage: Eukaryota; Viridiplantae; Streptophyta; Magnoliopsida; Poales; Poaceae.
CAGCAGUCAAAUUGCGUUUUAAAAACGUCAUCCUCAUCAUCAAACUCCACUCUUUUGUUCUGAACAUGAAGCUCAAAUAACCUCGCAAACCCAUCAACAUCGAUCGCACCUCCAAAAGUAUGCUAAACCCAGUAAAAUUUGGAAAGUUCAACGAAAGAAUUAGGGUAAGCUGGUGAAGUUUGGCAUUGUGUCUUUCCAAGAUCACAGUCAAUGUUUUAUCGCAGCAAAAACCACAAUCCAGCGAUAAAGAAGUCCCUAAAUACCACAACCUUGCCAAUUUGCGGUUUCGGCACUACCUCAUCACCAGGGGGCCUAGCAACACCCUCGGGAAAAU